CCUACGGGAGGCAGCAGUGGGGAAUUUUGGACAAUGGGCGAAAGCCUGAUCCAGCAAUGCCGCGUGUGGGAAGAAGGCCUUCGGGUUGUAAACCACUUUUGUACGGAACGAAACGGUUCGCUUUAAUACAGUGGGCUAAUGACGGUACCGUAAGAAUAAGCACCGGCUAACUACGUGCCAGCAGCCGCGGUAAUACGUAGGGUGCGAGCGUUAAUCGGAAUUACUGGGCGUAAAGCGUGCGCAGGCGGUCAUAUAAGACAGUUGUGAAAUCCCCGGGCUCAACCUGGGAAUUGCAUCUGUGACUGUAUAGCUAGAGUACGGUAGAGGGGGAUGGAAUUCCGCGUGUAGCAGUGAAAUGCGUAGAUAUGCGGAGGAACACCGAUGGCGAAGGCAAUCCCCUGGACCUGUACUGACGCUCAUGCACGAAAGCGUGGGGAGCAAACAGGAUUAGAUACCCUGGUAGUCCACGCCCUAAACGAUGUCAACUGGUUGUUGGGUGCAUUAGUACUCAGUAACGAAGCUAACGCGUGAAGUUGACCGCCUGGGGAGUACGGCCGCAAGGUUGAACGUUCAAAGGAUUGACGG
This 585-nucleotide ribosomal RNA is filed under the name uncultured bacterium. RNAcentral describes it as "bacterial SSU rRNA". It matches the Rfam family "Bacterial small subunit ribosomal RNA", at positions 338 to 916 of the family's 1533-position model. The record is from RNAcentral.